This 406-nucleotide ribosomal RNA is filed under the name uncultured bacterium. Its description in RNAcentral is "partial 16S ribosomal RNA". It matches the Rfam family "Bacterial small subunit ribosomal RNA", at positions 30 to 526 of the family's 1533-position model. The record is from RNAcentral.
AUUGAACGCUGGCGGCAGGCCUAACACAUGCAAGUCGAACGAGUGGCGGGCGGGUGAGUAAUGUCUGGAAAACUGCCUGAUGGAGGGGGAUAACUCCUGGAAACGUUAGCUAAAACCGCAUAACAUCAGAUGGGCCCAGAUUGGAUUGGCUUGUUGUUGUGGUAACGGCUCACAAAGGCGACGAUACCUAGCUGGUCUGAGAGGAUGACCAGCCACACUGGAACUGAGACACGGUCCAGACGCCUACGGGAGGCAGCAGUGGGGAAUAUUGCACAAUGGGCGCAAGCCGGAUGCAGCCAUGCGGCGUGGAUGAAGAAGGCCUUCGGGUUGUAAAGUACUUUAAGCGGGGAGGCGGGACCCGAAGAAGAAGCACCCGAUAACUCCGUGCCAGCAGCCGCGGUAAUUC